RNAcentral lists this ribosomal RNA (300 nucleotides) under uncultured Desulfurispora sp. RNAcentral describes it as "bacterial SSU rRNA". The stretch from base 52 to 300 matches the Rfam family "Bacterial small subunit ribosomal RNA", at positions 547 to 795 of the family's 1533-position model. The record is from RNAcentral. Lineage: Bacteria; Bacillati; Bacillota; Clostridia; Eubacteriales; Desulfurisporaceae.
UGCGAUUGCUGGCUAGCUGCCUGGGUAUUGUGUUGGGUGUCGGUGUGGUCAGGAAGUGCUGGUCGGAAAGUGGGUUGGUGUUGUUGUUCGGGUGUUGCGUGAAAGCUUGCAGCUUAACGGGGGGCGGGCUGGGUCUACGGGCAGACUAUAUUACUUCAGGGUGGGCGGGAAUUCCUGGUGUAUCGGUGGAAGGCGCAGAUAUCAGGAGGAACACCGGUGGCGAAGGCGGGUCUCUGGGCAUUAACUGACGCUGAGGAGCGAAAGCGUGGGGAGCGAACAGGAUUAGAUACCCUAGUAGUC